Molecule: ribosomal RNA, 413 nt
Filed under: uncultured eukaryote
Lineage: Eukaryota
Description: bacterial SSU rRNA
Rfam family: Eukaryotic small subunit ribosomal RNA
Source: RNAcentral
AGUGUCGCAAGGCAUCGCUUAGUAUUUUAUUGCUUUUAGAUGUAGUAAUUGGGUAAAACUGGUUGCGAAACCUAAGGGAUCACAGUAAAGUAUUAAGUGGGGUUCCAGUUCAUUUACUUUGAGUAAAUUAGAGUGUUCAAAGCAGCCUGUAUGGGCAUUGAAUAGAUUAGCAUGGGAUAAUAGAAUAGGAUUCUUGUCUAUUUAUUGGUUUAUAGGUUUAGAAUAAUGAUUAAUAGGGAUAGUUGGGGGCACUUGUAUUCAAUAGUCAGAGGUGAAAUUCUAGGAUUUAUUGAAGACAAAACUUCAGCGAAAGCAUUUGCCAAGGAUGUUUUCAUUAAUCAAGAACGAAAGUUAGGGGAUCGAAGACGAUUAGACACCGUCGUAGUCUUAACUAUAAACUAUGCCGACCAGGU